This 83-nucleotide transfer RNA is filed under the name Phycisphaeraceae bacterium. RNAcentral describes it as "tRNA-Leu". It matches the Rfam family "tRNA". From Rfam's summary of the family: Transfer RNA (tRNA) molecules are approximately 80 nucleotides in length. Their secondary structure includes four short double-helical elements and three loops (D, anti-codon, and T loops). RNAcentral also lists the same sequence under 1 other name. The record is from RNAcentral. Lineage: Bacteria; Pseudomonadati; Planctomycetota; Phycisphaerae; Phycisphaerales; Phycisphaeraceae.
GCGGGUGUGGCGGAACUGGCAGACGCGCGAGAUUUAGGUUCUCGUGGCCUUUGGCCUUGCAGGUUCGAUUCCUGUCACCCGCA